RNAcentral lists this transfer RNA (95 nucleotides) under Neolecta irregularis DAH-3. It matches the Rfam family "tRNA". From Rfam's summary of the family: Transfer RNA (tRNA) molecules are approximately 80 nucleotides in length. Their secondary structure includes four short double-helical elements and three loops (D, anti-codon, and T loops). Lineage: Eukaryota; Fungi; Ascomycota; Neolectomycetes; Neolectales; Neolectaceae. The record is from Rfam by way of RNAcentral.
GGUUCUAUAGUGUAGUGGCAUCACAUCGGAUUUUGAAAACCUGUAGAGCGUUUGAAACCUUUCCGGUAACCCGGGUUCGAAUCCCGGUAGGACCU